RNAcentral lists this unclassified non-coding RNA (232 nucleotides) under plant metagenome. RNAcentral describes it as "partial contains small subunit ribosomal RNA, internal transcribed spacer 1, and 5.8S ribosomal RNA". The stretch from base 184 to 232 matches the Rfam family "5.8S ribosomal RNA", at positions 1 to 49 of the family's 154-position model. The record is from RNAcentral.
UUUCCGUAGGUGAACCUGCGGAAGGAUCAUUAAAAAUGAAGCCGGGAAACCGGUCCUUCUAACCCUUGAUUAUCUUAAUUUGUUGCUUUGGUGGGCCGCGCAAGCACCGGCUUCGGCUGGAUCGUGCCCGCCAGAGGACACAACUCUGUAUCAAAUGUCGUCUGAGUACUAUAAAAUAGUUAAAACUUUCAACAACGGAUCUCUUGGUUCUGGCAUCGAUGAUGAACGCAGC